Molecule: transfer RNA, 73 nt
Filed under: Heyndrickxia coagulans
Lineage: Bacteria; Bacillati; Bacillota; Bacilli; Caryophanales; Bacillaceae
Also listed under: 7 other names
Description: tRNA-Ala
Rfam family: tRNA
About the family: Transfer RNA (tRNA) molecules are approximately 80 nucleotides in length.
Source: RNAcentral
GGGGCAUUAGCUCAGCCGGGAGAGCGCUUGCAUGGCAUGCAAGAGGUCAGCGGUUCGAACCCGCUAUGCUCCA